Molecule: long non-coding RNA, 403 nt
Filed under: Panax ginseng (ginseng)
Lineage: Eukaryota; Viridiplantae; Streptophyta; Magnoliopsida; Apiales; Araliaceae
Description: long non-coding RNA (PGIN_LNC016441)
Source: RNAcentral
CCUUUGAUCUUCUAAGAGUCCAAGUCUUGAGUCUGAAGAGAAGUCCCCUUCCCAAUGGAGUGGAAUGGGUAUUUAUAGGAUUUUUUGGAGAGUGGUCAUGUGAUAGGCACAUGUCAUCGGGGAAAUUCCAAAUUUACCCUUAGUCAUCAGAGUAAUGCCCAGAUCGUUCUGCCCUUCUAGCCACCAAUCCAAUCCCUCAAUCAAUUCCCAAAAUGAGUCACCUCCACGUGUCUUCUGCCUCGGGAUACGUGGAAGAUUCUCUCAGAUCUUACUUCUUUAUUUUGGACUUUUCUGCUUGUCAUUCAAUUCUUUAGGUCAUAUGUGUGAACCCUAAUUUGUACAUGGACUCACAUUUGCCCCCUGCAUGUGAGUCACACCUUCGGAGUGGCGAUCGUGCAAAUUU